This is a long non-coding RNA of Phodopus roborovskii (desert hamster), 295 nucleotides long. RefSeq lists it as uncharacterized. The transcript has 2 exons. The record is from RefSeq and is a predicted model, not a curated record. NCBI's taxonomy places the organism in Eukaryota, Metazoa, Chordata, Mammalia, Rodentia, Cricetidae.
AUGAAAGGCAGUUUGGAAAGGCUCACAUUAGAGAGAAGGGUGCCGAAGGCAGUGCUCUGGAGAGAGAGGAAGAGGCAGAGGCGCUAAUUAAGGAGCCUGGAUGAGUUUGCCCCGAAUCUCCAACCUUUCCUAAACAUCUGCCCUGCCGGCCAGAGGCAGCCACGGUCUGCCGCUAGUCUUCUUGCUCUUUUGAGAAACCAUCAGAAAGCAUCUGCAAAUAACUGUGAUUGCCUUAAAAUGGAGAGAAGCCCAUUUUCCAAUUACAGCCUGGGUGAUUGCUCCGGCUUUUAAUUAA